GAUGAAGAACGCAGCGAAAUGCGAUACGUAAUGUGAAUUGCAAAUUCAGUGAAUCAUCGAGUCUUUGAACGCACAUAGCGCCCCCUGGUAUUCCGGGGGGCAUGCCUGUCCGAGCGUCAUUGCUGCCCUCAAGCACGGCUUGUGUGUUGGGCCCCGUCCUCCGAUCCCGGGGGACGGGCCCGAAAGGCAGCGGCGGCACCGCGUCCGGUCCUCGAGCGUAUGGGGCUUUGUCACCCGCUCUGUAGGCCCGGCCGGCGCUUGCCGAUCAACCCAAAUUUUUUAUCCAGGUUGACCUCGGAUCAGGUAGGGAUACCCGCUGAACUUAAGCAUAUCAAUAAGCGGAGGA
RNAcentral lists this unclassified non-coding RNA (346 nucleotides) under soil metagenome. Its description in RNAcentral is "partial contains 5.8S ribosomal RNA, internal transcribed spacer 2, and large subunit ribosomal RNA". The stretch from base 1 to 119 matches the Rfam family "5.8S ribosomal RNA", at positions 35 to 154 of the family's 154-position model. The record is from RNAcentral.